Long non-coding RNA from Triticum dicoccoides, 358 nucleotides. RefSeq lists it as uncharacterized. The record is from RefSeq and is a predicted model, not a curated record. The transcript is spliced from 4 exons. NCBI's taxonomy places the organism in Eukaryota, Viridiplantae, Streptophyta, Magnoliopsida, Poales, Poaceae.
GGUCGUAUUCUAAAUAAUAGUGCAAGGUACUUUGAGUAAAUGGUCUGCAAAUCAGUGCAUCUGGAGUGCUAGGAUGUGUGGGGACAAAAAGAUGCCAUUGCAUAGGCCCGUUGGCAGAGAAAUCAAAGGUUGGGAAUACCACGCUUUACCAGGCGUUGUCGGCAAUGAUUGAUGAGAUAAUUGGUUUAGCUGCUUUCGGAAGAGGCGACGGGAAUCAUAAAAACCACGAUGGCUAUGGAGAUUCAACAUAUAGAAAGAUGGAAGAGUCUAUAAUUCGUUUUCCUGCCAACAAGCAUCACAAGUAAUAUCGAGAGCGAGCAGUUGCAGAUGAGAGGGAGACGAGCGUGGGUGGAGGUCA